This is a long non-coding RNA of Homo sapiens (human), 1615 nucleotides long. The record is from Ensembl. Lineage: Eukaryota; Metazoa; Chordata; Mammalia; Primates; Hominidae.
UCAGCCUCCUGAGUACCUGGGACUACAGGUGCAAGCCACCGCGCAUAGCUAAGUUUUAAUUUAUUUUUUGUAGAUAUGAGGUUUCACUUUGUUGCCCAAGGUGAUCUCACACUCCUGGGCUCAGGAGGAUUGCUUGAGCCCACACGAUGGAGAGGUAGCACUGAGCUGAGAUAGCACCAUGGCACCCCAGCCUGGGCAACAGAGCCAGGCUUUGUCUUAAACAAACAAAGAACAUGGUUUGUCCAUUUAGAUUUCCUUUUAUGCCCUUUAGCAAGUUUUAUUUUUUUUUCCAUAAAGUUCUUGAACAUUUUGUGGUGGUUAAAUUUAUUAUUUUACUUAUUUUUACAUAUAGCUAUUAGAGAGGAUCUUUAUUUUUUAGUUCUCAUAUGUUUUCUAGUUAGUUACUACUAGAGUAACCUAUCAUCCUAGUUUAUACCUGCUACAUGCCAUCCAUUUAUUCCCAUUGUCCUGGUUUGGAUAAUAAAUUAAAUCGUGUGGCCUUAGUUAUUAACAAUUUUAUCAUUUAGGAUUUCAUUCAGUUUCAACUAAUAAAACCUCACUAGUGGAUUGUUAACAAAUAAGAGGUAUAUUUAUCUCAUAACAGAAAUCUGCAUGUAGGUGGUCCAGUGCUCGUGCAACAGCUCCAUAAUAUCUUCAGGAACCUCGCCUUGUCUUCCAGCACUACUGUCUGUAGAAUGUAUCUUUCAUCCUCAUUUGUAAGAUGGUUUCUGCACCUUCUGGCAUCUUUUCUAUCUUCGAGACAUACAGGAAUAAAAAUGCAGAGCAAAAUGAGUUUUUGUUUUCUUUUCUGGAAAGAGUGAGUUCCCCAGCAGCAUUUGCCUGCAUUUGAUUUACCAGAACUACCAGACACAUGGCCAUCUAGUUGCAGAGGCAGUUAAGGAGAAACAAGGAUUAAAUACAUAAUUUAAGAACUUAAACUUUAUCCUGUAGAGAGGUAUAUGUUAUUCAAGGUUUUUGAACCAGGGCAUGACAUAAUAAAACGGAGAUUAGAAAGAUUCAUUUGGAAAUGGUUUGGAGAAUGAGUUAGGCAAAUGAUUUUGAAGGCAAAGAAAGCCUAGCAGAUUGAUUAAAGUGGAGAAGAGCACUGAAGUCCAAUUAGAAGACUUGUUUAAUCAAUAUACUCAGCCUUUUGUGAUAAUGGUAAUGGUUUGUGGGUAGAUUAGUAACCUUGAAAACAGAAAGGAAUAGUGGCUUAUACUAGUGACUGUCCAGAAAGACCUAGCUGAUCAUUAAAUUUUUGGAAUUGUUGAGAAGGCCAGUUUUCUUUCAUUCUAAACAGUUAACAUAGUUAAGGAACAUAGGUAAGGAUACAUUUAAGGAAAUAGAAUGUUUCAAAUAGCUUAAAAAAUUCUCUUGGCCAACUUUUUGAUGAAGUUGGUAAAGUAGCAGUGUAAGUCCAAGAGCCCAGGCAUAUUUACUGUCAUGAUUUUCAUAGCAAUGAAUAGGUAAAGAAAAUACGAGCACUAGAAGCUAGAAAACAUGCCAUUUUCAUGGCAAAUAUUAAUGUUCUUCAGCUAAAUGUUGUUUGGAUGAUGCUGGAACAAGAAGGCUAACUCAUGACACCUCUGUUGUGACAGAGCAACAUGCCUAGGGA